UGCUUUCCUUCUCCGCGUAUACGCAAGUAGGCACGCGCAUGCAUAUCGACAUCACACUACACGACAGCCAAAGAAGAAACACACACAUGAGUGACUUAGCCUCUGGGAGCAGUCGCCGCCCGCGCGCGGCGGGGCCGCUUCUCGCCGCCGGUAUCUUGCUGCUUGCAUUAUUGACGGUGAUGUGCGCGCCGGUGAGUGCUGAAGUGGUUGUGGCGCCGCUCUGCGCCGAGAAACACGGCUUCGCUGGUGAGUUCAAUGACCACUACACCAUCCCGGUGGAGCAGGCACCAGCAGCUGGCGAGGCAAUCGUCCUGAUUGCACGUGCCUUCCCCCUCAAUCUUGGUAACAUGCUGGCGCGGUGGCUGUAUAUCAAUGCAACUUACCGAAUCUCAGAAGGGGCGCAGCUCACGGAAGUGUCGGACAACAACGGCAUUUUGGAGCUCGCGAACGUAGCGGCUGGAACGGACAUUGAGGUGCGUGUGAUGCGUGUGCGCACCGACGGCCCGACCCCGUUUCGAUUUUUUAGCUUCUUUGCGAACAGCCCCGUCUGCCACGUGGCGGUUGCGCCGGACAACAGCUUUAUCGCUCCUGUGCCGCACAGGCUUCGUGCCACGCCGCAGCUGCCUCUGACCAUGUACUUCAAGGCGGUGCUGCCGCCGAACGUGAAUGCGCUCAUCAUUCGUGUCAGCGCCGACGGCCGUACUGACGAAAAGUUCAGAUCAGGGGAUAAGGUUUACGCAUCCGGCGACCUUGUGCGCGCUGCCAGCGGGGGCGCCGUGUUAUUCGCGUACACCUUUCCGAUGGAGAAUGCGGCCACACCGUACUACUUUACCCAGGUGUCUGUGAGCUACGGGGAGUGGGAAGGAGGUGACGCGGCGAAGCCGAGCGCGUCGAACACAUCCAGCAGUGGUGGCGACAGCAAAGACACCAUGCAGCCGACGCGGUCCACGCCGGUGCUGCGAAGGCUGCUGCUGAUUUCUUUGUUUCUGUUUCUCCUAUAUCAAGCGGCAGUGUCUGCGCACAACUAUUACGUUCUCGGCAAGCGUGACGUAAUGGACAUUGUUCCAUGCGCCAAGUCAGCGGCGGCAGGCGCGCGGACGGCGCAGCUUGUCACCUUGCGGUUUAUGGGCAUGUCGCAGCGACACAAGGAGGGGUAUAACUCUUUACAGAAUCCGGACGAUCCCUACUCGUGAGCGAUGAGCUACCGGGAAGCGUUUGUGUACGGACGCUGGUGCACGCCGAGAGAUACAGAUGCACCCCUCCACCCCGCUUCACACGCACAUGCGCAGAGGAGGGGAAUCUGCGGACUAUGUGUAUUCCACCACAUGUGCUCUACUUUUUUUUCAGGUGAGGUGUGCUGGCCGUCUCACACCUCACCCGUCUCUCACUCAACAUCAGCAUAUUAAGAAC
RNAcentral lists this unclassified non-coding RNA (1410 nucleotides) under Leishmania donovani. Its description in RNAcentral is "gene:LdHU3.30.3570(CDS-product:hypothetical_prote in_conserved)". The record is from RNAcentral. Lineage: Eukaryota; Euglenozoa; Kinetoplastea; Trypanosomatida; Trypanosomatidae.